CCUACGGGUGGCAGCAGUGAGGAAUAUUGGUCAAUGUGCGAGAGCCUGAACCAGCCAAGUCGCGUGAGGGAAGACGGUCCUACGGAUUGUACACCUCUUUUGUCAGGGAGCAAGGAGCGCCACGAGUGGUGCGGCUAGAGUAACUGAAGAAAAAGCAUCGGCUAACUCCGUGCCAGCAGCCGCGGUAAUACGGAGGAUGCGAGCGUUAUCCGGCUUUAUUGGGUUUAAGGGGUGCGCAGGCGGAAGCGGCAAGUCAGCGGUAAAAUGGCGGGGCUCAACCUCGCCGAGCCGUUGAAACUGCUCUUAUAGAGUGGGCGAGAAGUAUGCGGAAUGCGUGGUGUAGCGGUGAAAUGCAUAGAUAUCACGCAGAACUCCGAUUGCGAAGGCAGCAUACCGGCGCCCAACUGACGCUCAUGCACGAAAGCGUGGGUAUCGAACAGGAUUAGAUACCCUUGUAGUC
Molecule: ribosomal RNA, 460 nt
Filed under: uncultured bacterium
Lineage: Bacteria
Description: partial 16S ribosomal RNA
Rfam family: Bacterial small subunit ribosomal RNA
Source: RNAcentral